This 539-nucleotide long non-coding RNA is filed under the name Cricetulus griseus (Chinese hamster). RNAcentral describes it as "lncRNA (ENSCGRG00015038951.1)". The record is from RNAcentral. Lineage: Eukaryota; Metazoa; Chordata; Mammalia; Rodentia; Cricetidae.
GAGGGACUUGGAGUGUGGCCAUCUUUUUGGUUUGGGAUGGCAGAAAAGAGUCCUUCUUGCUGAGUGUCAGCUAAAGAAGGUUGUCGGCUGGUUGUUCCUCAACUUCUCUGAGCUAGCAGUUUUUCACCCCAGCAUCUGACUUCCAAGUCUUUGUUGAGUCCUCAUCCAGUGGCUGAUGGAAGCAGAGACAGACAUCCACAGAAAUACACUGAGCUGAAAUCUGGAACCUAGUUGAAGAGAGGGAGGAAUGAAGAAUGAAGGGGUCUGUACCAGGUUGGAGAAACCCACAGAAACAGUUGGCCUGAAAAAGGGAAAGCAUGUCGACCACAGAUGCUCUUUGGGAGGCCAGUACGGGACUAAUCCAGCCCCCUGAUCAUAGAUGCCAUCGGGGAGGCCCCUGCACUCCUGGGAGCCUCCAGAGGUGGACUGGCUUUUUGCCCUGGAUUUGGCCUGUUGUCUUCUGUCUUGCAUUGCUUCUAGCAACAAAUCUGCUGCCAUCUUCUUCCCACUGUAUGUGCAGUGUCUGGAUCAGGCUUUUU